UGGGGAAUAUUGCACAAUGGGCGCAAGCCUGAUGCAGCCAUGCCGCGUGUGUGAAGAAGGCCUUCGGGUUGUAAAGCACUUUCAGCGAGGAGGAAGGUGGUGAGCUUAAUACGCUCAUCAAUUGACGUUACUCGCAGAAGAAGCACCGGCUAACUCCGUGCCAGCAGCCGCGGUAAUACGGAGGGUGCAAGCGUUAAUCGGAAUUACUGGGCGUAAAGCGCACGCAGGCGGUUUGUUAAGUCAGAUGUGAAAUCCCCGGGCUCAACCUGGGAACUGCAUUUGAAACUGGCAAGCUAGAGUCUCGUAGAGGGGGGUAGAAUUCCAGGUGUAGCGGUGAAAUGCGUAGAGAUCUGGAGGAAUACCGGUGGCGAAGGCGGCCCCCCUGGACGAAGACUGACGCUCAGGUGCGAAAGGCGUGGGGCAGCAAACAGGAUUAGAUACCCUGGUAGUCCACGCUGCAAACGAUGUCGAUUUUGGAGGUUGUGCCCCUUGAGGCGUGGCUUCCGGAGCUAACGCGUUAAAUCGA
Molecule: ribosomal RNA, 526 nt
Filed under: uncultured bacterium
Lineage: Bacteria
Description: partial 16S ribosomal RNA
Rfam family: Bacterial small subunit ribosomal RNA
Source: RNAcentral